AGCUUUGCACAGUGGCAGUAUUGUAGCCAAUGAGGUUUAUCUGAGGCACGAUUAUAGCUAAUCAAAAGAUAUCUAUCUAUCUGUCUAUCCAUCUAUCCAUCUAUGUCACGUAUGUUGACACACAGGAAUGAAUAUCUGCUGGUGAGAUUUCA
RNAcentral lists this small nuclear RNA (152 nucleotides) under Canis lupus familiaris (dog). RNAcentral's name for it is "U4 spliceosomal RNA (ENSCAFG00030005539.1, ENSCAFG00040014353.1, ENSCAFG00805001415.1, ENSCAFG00845004878.1)". It matches the Rfam family "U4 spliceosomal RNA". From Rfam's summary of the family: U4 small nuclear RNA (U4 snRNA) is a component of the major U2-dependent spliceosome. The structure of U4 snRNA from yeast and human has been reported. Lineage: Eukaryota; Metazoa; Chordata; Mammalia; Carnivora; Canidae. The record is from Rfam by way of RNAcentral. RNAcentral also lists the same sequence under 1 other name.